CGGCCCGGCCCGACACUGCUCUUUGGGCCACUGCAGCCCUCUCAGCCAGCAACCUGAUGGUAGCAAGCUUUCCCGGCACUGAGCUACCUUUGCACUGUGGCUGAAGUCACCUCACCCAGCACGGCACUGAGGGUGCCUGGCCCUGCUCCCCAGUGCCCGGGAUGCCUUGCUCCCUGGAUGGCACCAAAAUCAACCUCCCCCUGCUCUCCCGAGACAGAGUCUCACUAAAUUACCCAGGCAGGACUCAAAUUUGCAAUCCUCCUGCCUCAGCCUCCUUGAGUGCUGGGAUUACAGAUGUGCACCACCACACCUGGAUAUACCCAGCCUUUUUCUAACACCCCCUUGCCAUUUACACUGGCGCCUCAGCACCCUGGCCAAGCAUAUUUCUCCUGGAGUUCCCAUUCCCACUCCCUACCUGGGCAGUGCCAGGGCACCCUGCAGACUCUCUUCGUCCACCUGGCUCUGGGAGAAGGCUGCAGACUCCCCAGGCAGUUAUGACUCCCCAGCCAGUAAUCCCCUCGGCCCCUCUGAGGCAGGGGCUCCUUGAAAGCAGGACCUGACACCUGCCAGCCAUCCAUGGCAGCCGAGUGGAGCCCAGCCACCCCGCUCAAGGAGCAGACCCUCGAAGGCUGCAUGGAAAUAAUUUUUAAUAUGCUGAAGCACAUUAAAAAUGCAUUAGAAAAGCAGGCGAUUUAAAUGGAAUUCCACAGGGAAUCGUUGUCUAAAAUCGAGAGCCUCUUUUUAAUGGG
RNAcentral lists this long non-coding RNA (749 nucleotides) under Heterocephalus glaber (naked mole-rat). RNAcentral describes it as "lncRNA (ENSHGLG00100044397.1)". The record is from RNAcentral. Lineage: Eukaryota; Metazoa; Chordata; Mammalia; Rodentia; Bathyergidae.